UAAGGAAUAUUGGUCAAUGGACGCAAGUCUGAACCAGCCAUGCCGCGUGAAGGAUGAAGGUCCUCUGGAUUGUAAACUUCUUUUAUCUGGGACGAAAACGGGAUUUUUAUCUCAAUUGACGGUACCAGAGGAAUAAGCACCGGCUAACUCCGUGCCAGCAGCCGCAGUAAUACGGAGGGUGCGAGCGUUAUCCGGAUUUACUGGGUUUAAAGGGUGCGUAGGUGGGCUUAUAAGUCAGUGGUGAAAUCUCCGAGCUUAACUUGGAAACUGCCGUUGAUACUAUAGGUCUUGAAUUAUCUGGAGGUAAGCGGAAUAUGUCAUGUAGCGGUGAAAUGCUUAGAUAUGACAUAGAACACCAAUUGCGAAGGCAGCUUACUACAUAUAAAUUGACGCUGAGGCACGAAAGCGUGGGGAUCAAACA
This 421-nucleotide ribosomal RNA is filed under the name uncultured bacterium. RNAcentral's name for it is "bacterial SSU rRNA". It matches the Rfam family "Bacterial small subunit ribosomal RNA", at positions 355 to 774 of the family's 1533-position model. The record is from RNAcentral.